Molecule: long non-coding RNA, 516 nt
Organism: Zea mays
Lineage: Eukaryota; Viridiplantae; Streptophyta; Magnoliopsida; Poales; Poaceae
Exons: 3
Source: RefSeq, a predicted model, not a curated record
UACAUUUAUAUGGCAUUUUUAUGCAAUUCAGUACCGGUUUUUGGUUGAUGGUGUCUGGAGGUGUGAUGAGACAAAACCCUUUGUACGUGAUGAAUAUGGACUGAUCAGCAAUGAAGUGCUUGUGGAAAACAAUGUACAACCCGUUGUGCAGCCAGAGCCUUCUAUCAUAGGAACUAAUAUGGAUAAGGGUACCAUUUUGAAAACAAUGCCCCCGGAGCCGUCAUCUCAGAACCCAAGCAUGCAAAUAGCAGUUAUCCGCCAUGUGGUCUCUGGAAUAUUAUUACACAAUACCAUAUAUGACGUUGUUCCCCUUUCUAGCAAGUUAACAGUUUUGGACACUCAGCUUCCUGUUAAACAAGCAUUUAAAAUAAUGCAUGAUGAGGUAUGUAUGUUACUGUGCUUGCUAGAGUUGCUUCAAAUAGUUCACUUUCCCUCUAUGGUGCUUGUUUGCUCUCAUUUCAACUUUGCUCUGUUUUUACUUUCAUUUUGAAGAAUUUUUAAAGCUGUGCUAGCAAU